GUGAAUCAUCGAAUUUUUGAACGCACAUUGCACUUUCUGGUAUUCCGAAAAGUAUACCUGUUUGAGGGUCAGUUAAAUCAAAAUCGGUGUUGUUGCUGCCCUUCGUGUUGGCGCGUCGGCAUUGGAUCGUCUUACCUUCGGUUAAGUGACUUAAAAUUUUUGCAUGGUUUUCGAACGUAUUUAAAUCGCUUACGUCCGUUUAAGAUAUCGAAUGUUUAUUAGGUUCGGUCAUUCACAUGAUUCGC
This 245-nucleotide unclassified non-coding RNA is filed under the name Glomus sp. RNAcentral's name for it is "partial contains 5.8S ribosomal RNA and internal transcribed spacer 2". The stretch from base 1 to 71 matches the Rfam family "5.8S ribosomal RNA", at positions 84 to 154 of the family's 154-position model. The record is from RNAcentral. Lineage: Eukaryota; Fungi; Glomeromycota; Glomeromycetes; Glomerales; Glomeraceae.